This is a long non-coding RNA of Populus euphratica (Euphrates poplar), 2440 nucleotides long. RefSeq lists it as uncharacterized. Lineage: Eukaryota; Viridiplantae; Streptophyta; Magnoliopsida; Malpighiales; Salicaceae. The transcript has 2 exons. The record is from RefSeq and is a predicted model, not a curated record.
GGACAAAUAACAACGGCCUUAAUAAAAAAGCAGCCGAAAGCAAAGAGCCAUACCGUUUAAUCCCUCUCCACGACUCCGCUUUUUCCUUUUUUCUCUCUUAAAUUCGCGCAAUCUCUAAAAUCCAGUCGCCGUCGCCGUCGUCGUCAACAACAACAACUCAAUAGAAAGAAAGAGAUAAAUAAAUCAGAGAUGGACACCACAACCACCACCACCACUACCACCACCACCACAAAUCCUAAUAACAACAAUUGCAAUUUCAUGUCAUGUGAGAAGCUGGAUCGGGUCGCCAGUUGGGUUGGGGUCAACGUGGCGUCUGCUUUCUUUGCUUCCCUUGAAAGAUGCUCUUGCAUCAACCUUAACACCACCGAUCUUGAAGACGAUGAAGAAGCCAGGGACCGUCCUCUCAUGCUCACCAAGCCUUCGGCCCACGAUCACCACCUCGAUGCCCAGCCCACCAUCAAUAGCGAUGCCCCUAAGCUCUCCGUCUGAUCAUCAUGAUGAUCAAGAUGAUAAUUACCCAUCUUUUUUAGGGUUUGUUUCAUUUCUGUAGCACUUGGACGAAAUAGUUAUAUAUUAUAAUAAUAAUAAUAAUAAUAAUAAUAAUAAUAAUAAUACCCGUUACUCUUGCUGUUCUUCUCUUGUGUGUUUAGUGCUGUAUUUUGAUGUUCUAUCAAUCAAGCAAGAUAUUUCCUUUUCUUUUGUUAAUCUUGCUAUGAUUAAGAUGUUCUUUAUUGUAAUUUGUGUGUUUUUGCAAAAUUGAUCUUUAUUUUUACCGAUUGCGGUGUGGUUUUUAUGAUAUUCUCUCAGCUAGAACUCUCAAGCCCUGUUCUUUAUUCGUUAUGAUCGUCAUAAUUCAUUGUCUAAAAAAGUUUUUCGUGGCCUGUGAAUUGUAAUUGUAUAUGAUUGCAAUUGGAGAUUCUCUUAAUUCGAACGAAUUGUUUAUAGGAACCACCUUUAAGAACAGGUUUAGACUUUAGAUUUCUGGUGCCUGUUGCUUUCUCUCGGUAGGUAGUUGGUAUUCCUUUUACUUUCAUGCAGGUUAUUACUGAGUGUAGGUGAAUAUAGUAAAGGUGGAUCUUUCGAGGAAUCUAAUCCUCGUAUCUUCAGCCGUCUAAAUUAUGUGACUGCUUUUAACUUUUGAAACAUCAGUGCGACGUGGAUUGAAGGUAAGACUAUACCGCUACUGGGUACUUUUCGUUCUAUGAUCCUGUGAUAUCUCUGUUUUUAUACUGUCAUGGUGGCAUUGACUGGGAUGCAGAAUAAUAAUGAGUUGUGCUAUUGAUCGGAAGGGAGUUUUUGUUCUUGAUCACGCCAAAUUAUUGUUUGCCAAAUUAUUUCAUUCAUUCUGAGGCCAUGCUUUUCCAAACUUAAUCAUUGAGAUUUUAGAUAGUAUUAAAUGUAGACAUUUUUCUCUGCAAAUAGUUAGUGCUUUCUUUUUAGAGUAGUCAACGUUGAAUCAUGACCUGAGCUUUAUACUAAAGUAAGCGAUGAUAUUUGUCUAAUGCAGGGAUGGUGUUUUUGGACUGGGCUGAAGAGAUCAAACACUAUUUUUUUCCUUUGGAAUUUUAUAUUUCCUGCCAUUACAAAUUUUAGCCGAUAAGUGAAAAACAAUGCAGUUUAGCUAACCAUUCAGAGAAUCUUAUAAUAGAUCCAUCUUUGUUAUAGUAAACAACAAAAGCUACAAGUACUGGUUCCUUAUAUCAGUCAACAGUAUCAGCAUUCAAAAAAUAUAUCCAAUUGUGGAGUGAUGGGAUUGUUGGUAUUAGCCAGCAAGACUACUAUGGUGGCACCGGAUCAUUUAUUUUGUGACUGAGAAUGCUAUGUGUAAUUAUAUGCAUUUGCUAGGGAAUGGCCAUCCAGAAAAGGAAAAAAAAUAUGAAAGAAAAAGUUGCAGCAUGGUUAAACAGCAUAUCGAUGAAAACUUAUUUAUACUGCAUGGGUGGCCAAAGUUUGAAUUGUUUGCAGUGUGCAGCACUAGAUAUCAAACACAAAUGGGUGGUCUGAUAAAGUUAUGGAAAGGUGAUCAUUUAUCUCCAUGGUCCCUCCAGCAAACCAGCAUCAACACACAGCGCAUGAUAACAUAUAGUCUUCCUCUCUUCUCUUUCAGACUCUUGCUUGGAACCUGAACUUUGCCUCGUCUUCUAAGUGUAAAAGCUAGACAUGGUUUGCCCAUGGCUCUGUCUCUGUUGCCCUGUAACAAAUUAGAUAAGCUAAGAACAAAUGGAAAAAAGUUUCAUCACCUUUGUUCCUCAGCUCUUAAAUAAUCCUUCAUCUGUAGCAGUAUAUACGGUUUGUUUCUUACAAAGAUGCAAGUCACAAGGGCUUGCUGCAAAUUUUGUCUUCGAGUGCAGUAGCAAGUACUUUUUUAUAUUCGUUGUAAUUUGAGUUUUGGAGCCAGUGACUCUGAUGAUAAAUAAAAUAAAAUAAAAUUGAGGAUCAA